This 477-nucleotide ribosomal RNA is filed under the name uncultured bacterium. RNAcentral describes it as "partial 16S ribosomal RNA". It matches the Rfam family "Bacterial small subunit ribosomal RNA", at positions 28 to 507 of the family's 1533-position model. The record is from RNAcentral.
GAUUAACGCUGGCGGCGUGCAUAACACAUGCCAGUCGAACGAUGAAACUUUAAUGAACCCUUCGGGGAGAAUUAAAGCGGAUUAGUGGCGAACGGGUGAGUAACGCGUGAGUAACCUGCCUUACACAAGGGGAUAGCCUUUGGAAACGAAGAAUAAUACCCUAUAAAACCAUAAAAGCACAUGCAAUUAUGGUCAAAGUGAUAGCGGUGUAAGAUGGACUUGCGUCUGAUUAGCUAGUUGGUGAGAUAAAAGCCCACCAAGGCAACGAUCAGUAGCCGGCUUGAGAGAGUGUACGGCCACAUUGGGACUGCGACACGGCCCAGACUCCCACGGGAGGCAGCAGUGGGGAAUUUUGCACAAUGGGGGAAACCCUGAUGCAGCGACGCCGCGUGAUUUAGAAGGCCUUCGGGUUGUAAAAAUCUUUUGUAUAGGAAGAAAAUGACAGUACUAUACGAAUAAGGUCCGGCUAAUUACGUG